AUGCAAACUGUAACACAAGGGCCAUUAACCCUUUCUCUGCCGGGCACACUCAGUCCCCACGCCCCGCACCUAUUGUCUCCUGUGCUAGAAGCUUUGCAGAAAACCUGGAAAUUUUGGCCAGAAAUGGUGAGAAGAAAAAGCAUGAAGAAGCCGCGAAGUGUGGGGGAGAAAAAGGUGGAAGCGAAGAAACAGCUCCCGGAGCAAACUGUACAAAAACCUCGCCAAGAGUGUCGGGAGGCAGGACCGUUAUUCCUGCGGAGCAGGUUAGAACUGAUCUCUUUCGGCCACUCCAGGAAACACAAACCUGGGGACGGACUGACGUGUUACGCCUCUUCUAAUGACAUUUUUUUCUUUUUCUUUUCUGUAGGAGAGAGACGAGAGACCCUGAAACACGCGCCACCUAUCUUUGUGGGGAGGGAUAAUUGAAGCGCCCUGAGCGUGAGCAUCAUGUGAAAACGUGAUCGCCAAGUUUCUCUCUGGGAAAGGAUCUGGGAUAGAUUAUACCUUGAAGUCUCCGCAAACGCUUUAGUGGAAGAAAUGAAAUUCCACCUCCCUCCCUUCCUCCUCUCCCUCCCUUUCGCCUUCGCCUCCCUCCCCCCUCCCUCCCUUCUCCUCCCCCCUCCCCCCCCCCGCCCGUCAAGCCUUUGGCAUCAUUAUCCUCAUCACUAAAUCCUACAGAGUACAGGGCGGAAAACGGUGCACACCAUUCACAGAACUGGAGAACUCCAAGGGGCGAAAGUUAAAGGGAAAGAUCCCGGGUCCUCAAUCCAGAUCGUCUCUUCUUAUACAGAUAUCUCUAAUGACCAGAUUUGAGAUGCACAUCAAAUUGUGUAGCUAUCUCAGUACAGCUUCUGGAACAAAAUUCACUGCCCUUUCCCUUAUUAUUAUUUUUUUUCUUUUUAGGUACCAGAGCCAGAAAAAAAAAAAAAAAAAAAAAAAGUGCUGCAUGGGAGCUGCAUCUUUGGGCAUGUGUGUUAGGGUGUGUGCAUGAUGAAUUUCUGCACUGGAUCCCAAUAUUAAAAAGUAGUUUGCCAUUUUAAUAAAGGGUCUCUAAGUAAAUUAACA
Molecule: long non-coding RNA, 1065 nt
Filed under: Piliocolobus tephrosceles (Ugandan red Colobus)
Lineage: Eukaryota; Metazoa; Chordata; Mammalia; Primates; Cercopithecidae
Description: lncRNA (ENSPTEG00000023785.1)
Rfam family: ZEB2 antisense RNA 1 conserved region 3 (bases 601-704)
Source: RNAcentral